Long non-coding RNA from Helianthus annuus (common sunflower), 1765 nucleotides. RefSeq lists it as uncharacterized. The transcript has 12 exons. NCBI's taxonomy places the organism in Eukaryota, Viridiplantae, Streptophyta, Magnoliopsida, Asterales, Asteraceae. The record is from RefSeq and is a predicted model, not a curated record.
CACGCGUAGAUGGUUGUUCCUUCUCCUGCAAUCUUCUUUCCUUUUGAAAAUAGGUAAGUUUUUUUCCUUGAUAUUUUUUCUUUCGUCUUUCGUUGUUUCUCUCUGCAACUCUUCACCUCUUAAUACAUUCAUCCGAAAAACUAGGUUUGCAAUCAACACGAUUCACAAAAUUCUCUAACUCAUACAAUGCCUCUUCCUCCCAUGUUACGAUUCAUAAACCCUAUUUCUCAUCUAAACUCUUGAGCAGCUUCUUUUUCAAGCAAUCAAAACCUUUAGUUUGGCAUUUUUUCUUGCUUUGCUGCGUGUUCUCUACUGCCCGUUUUCUUGCUUCCCUGCUUCACAAAUCCAUCUUAUAAGAAAGACAGAUACAACACGAGAGGAGACGUGGAUGGUGUUUUAUGGCGGUAAGCGACCAAACCAACCCGAACCGACGAUGAAGGAGGAACUGAAAUAAACGAGCAUCGCCGACCUGACUUGAUUACAGUGUUAGGUUACCGUUUUUUGUGAGAACAAAGGGAUCAUAAUCAAAUAGCAGGAAGGGAGUAGAAUGAAGAAAUUGUAACGUAUAUGAUGGUAAAGGCCAUUUUCAAGCCAGUGUGAUUCAGACACAAAUUCGAGUGAAGUAGAUACAGUUUCAAUAAAGCUUCAAUUGUCUUUGGUACCGAAUAAAAUUUCGGCUUCUGGUGGGAAAAGAGGUAUGGUGUCCUAUAUGCAAGUAAGUGUUGCAACAGAACUGAUAUAUUAUCUUAUUAUGGGCUAUGUUCUCUUUGCGAACGUGAACUCAACAGAGACGCUAGGUGGCAUUGGUGGCAUGAGUUAUACCAUUUGCUUUGGUCAGAUUGCUGGAUUUGAGACAGUUGAUUUAUGUUUUAAGCAAAAGAUCAUCUCAGAGGUGUAUAUCAGCAAGACAAUAAAUGGCUUCCUUUCUAGCAUUCAUGAACAGUCCUGUUGGGCCUAAAACUACCCAUUUCUAGGGUCCUGUAGCCAACUGUGGAUUUGUUGUUGCGGGGUUGGUUGACAUGCAGAACCCUCUAGAGAUGAUAUCCGGCAAUAUGAGUGCAGCUAUGUGUGUAUUCUGGAUUAUUCAUGAGGUUCGCCUGGAUGGUGCAGCCGCGUAAUUAUCUACUUCUAGCAUGUCAUGCAUCAAAUGAAACAGUUCAGAUGUAUCAAUUUUCACAUUGGUUAAAGCAUCAAGGGUUUAGAAGAACAGGAUGUUCCUCAACUGUACCCAAAAGUGCUAAAUCUUGGUGAAAAACCAGAAGCAAGAAUCAAUGGUGGUUGAUGAUGCUUUUUCAUCAAAAUGGAGGUGGGUGACAGUCUUUUUCUCUCUACUCUUUCGUGCUCAGCAAAACACAAAACUUUUCCAUGAGGGGACAACUCAUGGCUGAUGGUUACGUAAAUAUAUAGAUCAUAGAUGAUAUUGUGCUGCACAUGAGAUGCUCACUAAAAUGCCUCAGUGACGUUUCAUUUUACUGGAUGCAUAUUAUUCUUGCUUCAAACCGUGGGACUGUCAUGGAGCUCGGUAUUACUCCCAUUGUGACUUCUGGAUUGGUUAUGUUGUUGGCUGGGUCAAAAAUUAUUGAAGUGGACAACAACGUUCGUGAGGACCGUGCACUAUUGUAAGUUUAAUAGUAUUCAGAAAUUUUCUUUUACCAACCCGCGAAGCUCGCGGGUUCUUAGACUUAGACAUGAAGCCUAAGUUUGGAAAGGCGUAGAACAAAAAUGAUGAUCUACCUGAGGAUUCAAUGCCAGUAGAUAUUAUAUA